GAAAUGCGAUACGCAAUGCGAAUUGCAGAAUCCGCGAGUCAUCAGAUCUUUGAACGCAAGUGGCGCCGAUUAUAUCGGCAUGUUUGUUUCAGUGUGGAAGGAAUCACAAAGCUAAAUGCGAUUGAUGUCCCUGAUAAAAAGGGGGCCAUCUCUCGUUAAACAAGUCAGUUUCUCGACGGAGAACUAUGUCUGAAUAAGAUAUACCUCCCUUCGCAACGAAGUAGUCUCAAGUAUUCUGAGAUCUCGAGGCGUAUAAAGGGAGGAAAAACUCCGACCAAAGAGAAAUGUCUAAAUAUCACUUUUCUACUACCACCUGAAAUCAAGCAAGACGACCCGCUGAACUUAA
This 346-nucleotide unclassified non-coding RNA is filed under the name uncultured fungus. RNAcentral describes it as "sequence contains ITS1". The stretch from base 1 to 97 matches the Rfam family "5.8S ribosomal RNA", at positions 50 to 154 of the family's 154-position model. The record is from RNAcentral. Lineage: Eukaryota; Fungi.